Molecule: long non-coding RNA, 2221 nt
Filed under: Vigna radiata
Lineage: Eukaryota; Viridiplantae; Streptophyta; Magnoliopsida; Fabales; Fabaceae
Description: long non-coding RNA (VRAD_LNC007768)
Source: RNAcentral
CAUGAUUCUUUUUUACCACUUCAAUCCUCAAAACAAUUUAAGAGAUAAUAACUAAACGUUUUGUACCACUGAGAGUCAUUGUCAAGUGAGCAUCAUCGGUCUCAGAGUGACGCCUAGUGUUAUGGCUAUUAGAGUCAUAAAUACCUCAAUUAGCGUUUUCCUUCUUUACAAAAUCAUAAAUGAUUACCGAAACAGUGUUUAAAAUGUUCUCUCAUAAGAUAAUUACUCAACUCAAUUGUCAACUCUGAACCACUCCAAAAAAUCAUACAAGAAAUAUAGUAUGAACAUUAUAUCAAACGACUUCAUACUUUCAACUCAAACACAACUCAAAUAUUAGGCUUAAUCAUGUAAUAUAGUUUUCUCAUUCAUUCCAUUAUCACACAUUGGACUAAAUCAAUCAAUCAAAUAAUAGGCAUAUACCAAAUUUAAGGUAAAAAAGGCAAUGUACCAAGCAUUCAUCUAGAGAAAAAAAUUGUUAGAAUUAAAGAUUAAUGUCCCUUAUCUUAGUUAAACAAUAAUUUUUACUUAGUUACUCCUUACAACUCUAUUCCUCACUAAUUUAACUAGAUAUAUAAAACUUGAAUUAAAAAUCUAAACAUAUCACCAUGAUCAUAGAACAACAUAGAUUCACUUUGAGCCGCAUACAUAAAAUAUUUGCCCACAUGCAAUUCAAAAAGCAAAACAAUAUAAAAAAUUAAAAAAAAAUGAACUUUCUUUGUUUUUCCUUCUAAUAAAGUGAAUUUGUACAUGUAGAGUUUUUUGUUAAGAAUACUUUUACUAACUAUCUUUAAUCUUCAAAAGAAUGAAAAUUGAAAUAAGAAAUGUUUCUACUAUCUUUUAUCUUUAAAAGAAUGAAAAUUGGAAUAAGAAAUACAUGGUAAAAAGAAAAUUUAGAAAAAAAAUUAGAGAUAUAAUAAUUUUUAUAAAAUGAACUUUAAUUAAUAAAAAAUUCAUUUAUACUUUUAUUAUUAAAAUAUUAUUAUGUUUCUCCUAUUCUAAGUUCUCACACUUAGACGUGAUGCGUAGACCUUUUUUUUUCAAAUCACAACGGGUGAUAUGAAUUUUUAACGUCGAUUUGUCAAGUUAAAAGAAAAAUAUAUUUAUAGUAGAAGACUAUGUGAAUUUCUCUUUUUACUUAGUUUUAUGCAUGGGAAAAACUUUAGCUUGAUUAUGUGUUCGAUAAAAAUUCAAAAUGAAAUAUUCUUAAGUCACAUAAUUAACAAAAUAUUUUAGCAUUCCUAAUUAAUUUCUUUCUUUUCUUUACCUUUUUUAUUUUAAAAAUAAUGACUAUGGAGUAUUUGAAAUUUAUAUUUUUAAAUUUUAUUCAACUUAUAAUAAUUAAAAUUCUGAAAAUUGUAAAGAAGGAUAAUUGGAUUUUACAGAUUUUGGAAAAAGGAAAAAAUAGCAAAAAAAAAAAGAAAUCUUUGAAAAAAAACUUUUAUAUUCUAAAUUAGUUUUCUGAAAACCAAUAUAAAAUGCAAUUUGUUUUAAUCACUUUGUUAAAAAAAAUUUAUAGAAAACCAAUUUUUGAAUCAUCUUUAAGACAAACGAUUUAAAAACUAACUAUUUUUACACAAGUUAACCCAAUAAUCACAACUUGUUGAAUGGAUAAAUAUUAGAUUUAAAAGAAUUUUCUUAUAUAUUUUUUUUUGAAAAAAAUUGGUUAUAUCUAAAAGGUCUUAAAUAAACGAUGUAAAAUUAAAGGGUAUUCUACGAAGUUUUUUCUCUGUCCCAAUGUUGAUAUCUUUAGCCAGGAAUUGAAUAAACAUUAAAAGACGACAUGUAUUCUUCUUCUUGAUUUGAUCUAUACUUGAUGUUUACACUACUACUAUCAAUUAUUAACUUACGGGUACUUUAUUUUGUAUAAAAGAAAAACAUUGUUUCAAAAGUUCAUAAGUGAUAAAAAUGUAUAAAUUUAUAGAAAAUACAUAGUUUGCAUAUUAAUAGGAGAUUGCAUAACUUUAUGUUAGAUCAGUCCCUCGUGAGGGGAGGGACUCACAAAAUAGUGUAAUCUAUCAUUUAAAAUUAGAAAAAGGAAUUGUUUAAAAAUAAUAUUAUAGAAAAAGUUAAAUGGUUGAAAUUAGCAUACCUUUAGCUUUUGACUCUUAUUAGGAGAAUUCUUUUUCAUUUUCUGAUUCAUCAUAGCAAACAAGAUUGACAUGAGAUAUCUUGUGCCAAUCCUGUCCAACUCUUGGCCUGUAUCUUUUCCAUAAUUCAGAAG